This 500-nucleotide ribosomal RNA is filed under the name uncultured bacterium. Its description in RNAcentral is "partial 16S ribosomal RNA". It matches the Rfam family "Bacterial small subunit ribosomal RNA", at positions 30 to 523 of the family's 1533-position model. The record is from RNAcentral.
AUUGAACGCUGGCGGCAUGCCUUACACAUGCAAGUCGAACGGCAGCACGGGAGCAAUCCUGGUGGCGAGUGGCGAACGGGUGAGUAAUGUAUCGGAACGUGCCCAGUCGUGGGGGAUAACGUAGCGAAAGGUACGCUAAUACCGCAUACGAUCUUUGGAUGAAAGCGGGGGAUCGCAAGACCUCGCGCGAUUGGAGCGGCCGAUAUCAGAUUAGGUAGUUGGUGGGGUAAAGGCUCACCAAGCCGACGAUCUGUAGCUGGUCUGAGAGGACGACCAGCCACACUGGGACUGAGACACGGCCCAGACUCCUACGGGAGGCAGCAGUGGGGAAUUUUGGACAAUGGGCGCAUGCCUGAUCCAGCAAUGCCGCGUGCAGGACGAAGGCCUUCGGGUUGUAAACUGCUUUUGUACGGAACGAAACGGCUCUCUCUAAUACAGAGGGUUAAUGACGGUACCGUAAGAAUAAGCACCGGCUAACUACGUGCCAGCCGCCGCCGUAA